Molecule: transfer RNA, 71 nt
Filed under: Fukomys damarensis (Damara mole-rat)
Lineage: Eukaryota; Metazoa; Chordata; Mammalia; Rodentia; Bathyergidae
Rfam family: tRNA
About the family: Transfer RNA (tRNA) molecules are approximately 80 nucleotides in length. Their secondary structure includes four short double-helical elements and three loops (D, anti-codon, and T loops). Further hydrogen bonds mediate the characteristic L-shaped molecular structure. tRNAs have two regions of fundamental functional importance: the anti-codon, which is responsible for specific mRNA codon recognition, and the 3' end, to which the tRNAs corresponding amino acid is attached (by aminoacyl-tRNA synthetases). tRNAs cope with the degeneracy of the genetic code in two manners: having more than one tRNA (with a specific anti-codon) for a particular amino acid; and 'wobble' base-pairing, i.e. permitting non-standard base-pairing at the 3rd anti-codon position.
Source: Rfam by way of RNAcentral
GGGAGUGUAGCUCAAUGGUAGAGUGCCUACCUAGCAUGUGCAGGGUCUGGGUUCAAUCCCCAGCACCACCA